This 253-nucleotide ribosomal RNA is filed under the name uncultured bacterium. RNAcentral's name for it is "partial 16S ribosomal RNA". It matches the Rfam family "Bacterial small subunit ribosomal RNA", at positions 524 to 776 of the family's 1533-position model. The record is from RNAcentral.
UACAGAGGUCUCAAGCGUUGUUCGGAUUCAUUGGGCGUAAAGGGUGCGUAGGCGGUCGCGCAAGUCGGAUGUGAAAUCUCAGGGCUCAACCCUGAAACUGCAUUCGAUACUGCGUGGCUAGAGUGCUGGAGAGGAGACUGGAAUUUACGGUGUAGCAGUGAAAUGCGUAGAUAUCGUAAGGAAGACCAGUGGCGAAGGCGAGUCUCUGGACAGCAACUGACGCUGAGGCACGAAGGCCAGGGGAGCAAAAGGG